Molecule: microRNA precursor, 68 nt
Filed under: Ixodes scapularis (black-legged tick)
Lineage: Eukaryota; Metazoa; Arthropoda; Arachnida; Ixodida; Ixodidae
Description: let-7 microRNA precursor
Source: RNAcentral
GCAAAAUGUAGCAGGAUGUAGCAGAGUUAGCCAAGGGGCUAACUCUGCUACAUCCUGCUACAUUUUGC